AGUGAACGCUGGCGGUAGGCCUAACACAUGCAAGUCGAACGGCAGCACAAGAGAGCUUGCUCUCUGGGUGGCGAGUGGCGGACGGGUGAGGAAUACAUCGGAAUCUACUUUUUCGUGGGGGAUAACGUAGGGAAACUUACGCUAAUACCGCAUACGACCUACGGGUGAAAGCAGGGGACCUUCGGGCCUUGCGCGAUUGAAUGAGCCGAUGUCGGAUUAGCUAGUUGGCGGGGUAAAGGCCCACCAAGGCGACGAUCCGUAGCUGGUCUGAGAGGAUGAUCAGCCACACUGGAACUGAGACUCGGUCCAGACUCCUACGGGAGGCAGCAGUGGGGAAUAUUGGACAAUGGGCGCAAGCCCGAUCCAGCCAUACCGCGUGGGUGAAGAAGGCCUUCGGGUUGUAAAGCCCUUUUGUUGGGAAAGAAAUCCAGCUGGCUAAUACCCGGUUGGGAUGACGGUACCCAAAGAAUAAGCACCGGCUAACUUCGUGCCAGCCGCCGCAGUAA
RNAcentral lists this ribosomal RNA (506 nucleotides) under uncultured bacterium. RNAcentral describes it as "partial 16S ribosomal RNA". It matches the Rfam family "Bacterial small subunit ribosomal RNA", at positions 29 to 523 of the family's 1533-position model. The record is from RNAcentral.